UAGGGAAUCUUCCGCAAUGGACGCAAGUCUGACGGAGCAACGCCGCGUGAGUGAAGAAGGAUUUCGGUUCGUAAAACUCUGUUGUUAGAGAAGAACAGCGCAUAGAGUAACUGUUAUGCGUGUGACGGUAUCUAACCAGAAAGCCACGGCUAACUACGUGCCAGCAGCCGCGGUAAUACGUAGGUGGCAAGCGUUGUCCGGAUUUAUUGGGCGUAAAGCGAGCGCAGGCGGUCAAAUAAGUCUGAUGUGAAAGCCCCCGGCUCAACCGGGGAGGGUCAUUGGAAACUGGUUGACUUGAGUGCAGAAGAGGAGAGUGGAAUUCCAUGUGUAGCGGUGAAAUGCGUAGAUAUAUGGAGGAACACCAGUGGCGAAGGCGACUCUCUGGUCUGUAACUGACGCUGAGGUUCGAAAGCGUGGGUAGCAAACAGG
This 429-nucleotide ribosomal RNA is filed under the name Bacteroidota bacterium. Its description in RNAcentral is "Bacteroidetes bacterium partial 16S ribosomal RNA". It matches the Rfam family "Bacterial small subunit ribosomal RNA", at positions 355 to 776 of the family's 1533-position model. The record is from RNAcentral. Lineage: Bacteria; Pseudomonadati; Bacteroidota.